UUGGGAACUUGUCCCUUCCCUACCCCUCAGCUUACAGCUGUAGUUCCUCUGGAAAUAUUCGCAGAAAGAAAAUCACAAGCUUCUGUGAUGGAUCACUAAUCCGUCUGUAAGGAAAUAGCCAUGAGAGGGACAAAUGCGUCACUUGAGCACGCAGUGGGGCAGGCCUACGAGGUCUCAUUGACUGCUUGGCUAAUGGCAGCAUACUGAACUGUCAGGCAGGCUCAUUAGGGACACGCUGCUAAUUCAGUCAGGCAACGGCUGCCAGGCUGCAUUGUGCAGAGCUGAGCAGCGUGAACAGAGCCCGCAAGCAAAGCUGCUGGAAUCCGCUUUUGUGCUCCCUUUGGACAGCUGUCCUCCCUUGUUGGCUUCUUUCCCCAGUUCUAACUGGCCACGUGGAGUUUUGGCACCGUUCGUGUUGCCUGAAGAUUAAUUGUAGAUUGCAGAAGUAAUCCAACUGGUGCUAACCUGAGUAACCCUGCUUCUCUUCCCAGCUGAUUUUGCAUACAUACCUUUAGUCGCAGUGUCAGAGCCAGCGUUAAUUCACUGCGUCUGGUGACUUAAUUGGAAAUUGGUUUAAGCUUUCUCUUUAAACCCUAAUUUGGAAUGCUGUAGGUGUUUCCCUUAUCUUCACUGCUCACAUCUGCUUGGCAGCAUAUGCUGAAGUUUGCAUUUCUUUUCUGCUGUCAAAAGACAACCUUGGUCUCCUGGCUUGAUUUUUCAGUUACGUCUCUCUGGAGCGAUGCCCAAAUGACAAGACAGAUCUUUAGCUCAAUGACCUGGAGGCACACGAGGGCCUCAUGCCUUCUCAGACGUCACACGAAAAUCUUUCCCAAGAAUUGAAAUUCACCAAAGAACUGCAGGUGAUUUCAGAGUCACCGCAGUAUUUGCCUUGCAAAUCCACCACAAUCCCUGGAAGGACUUGGUACUGAGCUAUAAUGGGCUAUGGGCUGGCUUUUGGAGCAGAGAAGUGGUGGGGAAAACCCGUCUUGUGCAGUCCACAGGGGCUGGCAUCCUGCUUUUUGUGUGAUGGACCCCUUGGGUGAUUAUCAUGGAAGGUUGAAGAAGGGUAAGAGAUCGUUUCUGGCUCAUAAAGGGAGCAACUAGAUUGUGUCAGUGCUGUCUCUUUCUAAUGUGCAUCAGAAUAUAAAGUUGAUUGAGGAGUUGGAACCCAACAGAGGGUUUUCUGAUUCUCUGCCAUCUGCUUGACUUUAUGACUCCAGCUCCUCUCCCAUUCUUGGAGAUGAUUUUCCCUGACAUCUUCAGUCUUAUUAAAGCUUGUUUUUGUUUCUGCCCAGUCUUCUGCCAGAGAAAGGCUGAAAUGGAUAAGUUUCUGGUAACCGUUUUCUGUGUUUUCACCUGAUUUGUCUCAUUGUUUUAAGGCUAGGUCACAUACUUAAGGAUUUCAGAUGCGAUCAGAAAUGAAGCAGAACAAGGUUUCCCAGGAGAUGACUGUGUGUGCUUGUGCAGAAUGUGCUUCCCAGGGAAAUGGUCUGCAGAAUUACCUUGCAGAAUGUUGCACAGCUCCAGCACGUGUGUCACUAACUGUCCAUUCACAAUGGAUGAUUUCUCCAGGUAAUGCUCUCCUCCAGCUGUGUCAGGCUCUGUCACCACACUGGGAGGCUGCCCUCUUUCCCAGAAACAACAGUUCCUGCCUCUGCCUGUUCACAUGGAGGGGUAUCUGUGUAAAGCAGUGCUCCAUUCAGGGAAAGGAAGCAGUAUUUUUCUAAGAAUGGAAAAACACUUGCUGUGUGGGAGGGAAAACUUCUUGUGAUCAAGCGCUGAGUUUCCUCAAUUCACUUUGUGGGGGGUUUCUAUUGGAGUAAGGCUGGAGGAGGGAGAUUUGGGAUGAUUCUGGGAAGCUUUGACUCAGAAAGGGGAGAGUGAUUCAUAGAUUUUUAGUGCUGUUAUUUAUUAAAGCCAGAACAGGCCAUUGGACCUAGUCUUAUCUUUGAAAAUGCAAAGCACUUAUGCGGUGACCCAAAAGAGUUUGUGGGUUUAAACUUAGAUCUUUUGGCAUUAAAAUAUAAAUCCCAGCAUUGGGAGUCAGCCUACCACUACUUUAAACUAGAUUUGUGGUCAGUUACUUCUGGAGUCGUGAUGGAAGAGUUCAUUCAUUCAAGAGCUGUUCUUUAAUUUUCAUAGGGAAAUGCUGAUUACCAAGGAAAUCAGCUUUUUUAGGAGGAGCCUUUUUCUUCUCCCUGAUUUGGAAAUGCAUAUUUACUUCUCCAUAACUUCAUUGUUAGUACUCAAAAUAAACGAUGAGUUGCAGGAUGUACCUUAGAAAAAAAGAUUUAAGCUCAUCUUUUCCUUUAAGCUCGCCUUACACCAAAGGCUCACACAGCCCCAGUACAUUUGGAUAUGCUGUGUCAGUGGCUGAGAGUCAGGAAAGCUUCUGAGCUUCCAGCAGUCCUUGGUGGAUCCUGGAGCAAACAGCUUCAUUACCCUCCUGAAAACACUGCUAGCAGGGCGAUCUCAUCAUGCCUAAACUGCUGCCUUGAAUUUUGUUUGUACUGAGGUCAGUUAUGGUAGAUAAUGCCUUAAUCUUGGCAGAGGUAGGGAAUGCAUGCAGAGGCUCUUCAAGAAAGAGAAAUGAUGGAGAAAGGACAAACAUCCAUUGUCACAACAAAUAGAGGAACUUGGACUUGGAGCUGCAUUUAACUGCAUUGGGGUAAACGAAUCUUCCAGAACUGUGCAUCAGACCUUCAGACAAACACAGCAUCUGUCCUAGAAGGAUUUAAUUAUGUGAAAUAAGCUCAAGAUAAACUGAUUUGUGUCAAUAGCUGUAAUAAACACAUUCUGCAUAGUUAAGAAAUCUCCAAGGCUUUGGAUAAUCAACUGAAAUCUCAAUUCAGUUUAACUCUGAUAAGCAUUAAUCAGUAAUUUUAGACAUUUAGUUGACUUGUAAGCAAUCCUGUAAGAUUACCAAAACCAAUUUCUUGAUUCACAGUUAUUACUGCAGUUGAAACUUUUUUUGCUGAAGUAUCCAGAGUGGUUACAAAAAAGGAUUUCCCUGGGAGUGAUUUUGCUGCCUGGGAAAAAUCUCACACAGGUGCAACCGAUUGGAAAAGCCAGACUUUUUUUUUUGUAAUGAGAAAAGCAAAAAAGAAUCCAACGAAGAGGCAGUGGUGUGUUGCCUUGCCAGCAAGGGAAGUCAAGAAGACUGCAAACUUUAAUGGAAGUAGAAUUUUGGAGGGAGAAAGCUAUAGACUGCUGUGAAAUGUACCCAAAAUUUUCUGGUUUACAGAACCAAUAUUUUAAGAAGCCAACAGAAAUAUGCCAAGAAAAGCUUUCAGUCAGAUAAUCUAACCUGGCUACUGGGGAAUGUUGCACUCUUUUGUGGAGGAGCUGACAGGGGAUACAAGUCAUCUGCCAUGCAAGAAGAUUUGCUUUGCUGUAACCAAUUUCAACUGCAGCAGCCACCACCAGUUCCUGAUUGAAUGACACCAGUGCCACAGGGAUGGUGACCUUCUUCAGCUGAGAGGAACAGAGUUGGGAAUGAGAACUUGGCAUCCAGCAAGAAGAAUCCAUAGGAGCCUGUUGAAGCAGCCACCUGAAGCACGGUUCUCUGAGCACUUUCAACCUGUAGCCUUGUGUGCCUCAUCUCUGGAUCACCGCUGCCUUUGGGCUUUCUCCUGGCCCUGAGUCAAUCUGCUCGCUGUUAAACAUUCUCCCAUCUGUUUUUGGCUCCAUGCUGGAUUUCUGCUGGACCCUGAAAGCAGUGAAUAGUUGUGAAGGAAAGUUGUGAAGAUGCAACUGAAGCAGAAUACAAUUUGAAGAGCCCUCCAUGUGGAGUUGCUGAAUACUGGAAGCCUUCCUUCAGCAUUUGUGGUUCCUUAGUUACUUCAGUGCCCUGGUAUGCAGAGCUGGCCUCCUUGGCUCUGGUUUUGUCUCAGGUUUUUUUCACUCCUCUUUCCUCAGACCUGUUGUUCCUCCUCAGCUACUCUUCUUCCUCCCUGCCUCAGGUGCCAUCUCCCUUCUGUGCAAAAAACCUGACUUUUAAAUCACAGUUGCACUUUUUGCAUUUCAGUGUUAAAUUUCAUUUUAUUUUUAAUGCAACCACAUUGCAUAUCUUUUUUGGGGUCACAGAAGCAUGUUUGGUGUGUUUCAGUGGUCACUGCCAGGUUCUUCUCCAAACAGAACUGAAACCAAUAUGUUGCUCUCUGUAUUAGACUCUUCCUAGCAGCCAUGUUUAUGCAGCUCCCCAUAAAAUGGAUCCCUGGUUAGGAUUUUUGAACAGCUCAAUCACUGAAAAAAUGGCAUUUUGAACAAGCUAGAGCUAUUUAAAAAAAAAUUGGGUUAAUAUAUGAUGAAAAGUUUGGGUCUGAAGAAAUAUCAGUGACAACACCCUUCCAAAAUUUAGGUCCAAAACAUCGUCAACAUGAGUAUCACAAUUACGAAGUUACUGGCAUUUAAUUGAACAAGAAGUUUUUUGGUUUUUUUUAAUACCAGAAAAAUUUUUGACAAAGUUUGAAAAUCGUGUUCAGAACAGUCAUCCAAAAUGGUACAAUUUUGGUUAAUUUGCAUGAAACAGAGGGCAGGUUCUUUGUUUUGGAAUUGUCAAGCAGCAAGUUUGGGGCAGUUUGAUCCUGAAUAAGAAACUGAACGUCAGAGCACAGCUGUCCAGACAACAUGAGUAAAAACCAUCCUCUGCUCUCACUGUCACUGGUACAAACUGCAGUCCUGGUAUGUCAGUGUCAGUAGCCAUCCUCUUCUGUGCCACCUGCAGUGCCUUCUGCUGUGCUGGGAGCUCUACAGACUUUAGUAGUGUUGAAGUGAAAAGGAAAACAUGCUUCAUCUGGGCUAUUCUGCAUUAUAGUGUUAGCAGCUGCAUUUUCAGUAUUUUGCAGAUUUGGCUACAUGCUUUGUUGCUGCAGCUGCUGGCACCAAACAAAAAAGAUAAGCAUAUAUUAAGGCAGGGAAACAAUUGUUGCUUCUGCUCCAUUACACUGGAACACAUGAUUAAAGUACCAAUAGCUACUUUGUCUGAGAAACUCCCUGCUUGAAUGUUUUCCAAAUCAUAAAACGAGACCAAAGAUCUAUAAUCUUGUGUCAUGACUCAUAAAUCCAGAUCUCCUCUUGUCCUUCUACUCUGGAUGGAUGGCUUGUAGAGGAGAUUGUGGUGGUUUGGUUAAGUCUGCAUUUCAGCAGUCAGUCCUCUUAGGUCAGACAUGCAAAAAAUAUCUGUAAUUGAGCAAUUUGGCAGUACUUAAAUCACAUUUUCCCCUUUGAAAGUUGGAAAUGUCCAUGUAUCAGUGAGACUCACAAUCCACAUACCUCUGCCCUUGUUGAAUUAGACAAGGUAUCGCUUGCUGUUACAUCGCAACUCCUGCUGCAAGAUAAGAACAAGUUGUUACCUUGAUGUAGUAAAGGAAAACAGCUUGAUGUUCUUAGAAAAGCAUAUACCUUUUUAGUACACUUUUCUAGAGUAAAACAAGGCUCCUGACUGCUCAUUAUAAGAAAUAAAGCUGAACACAUUUUGAAAUGAGUCUUCUGAAAGCAGAAUUUGGCAAAUGGGCAGCAGUGGGAGAUUUAAACUGAUGUCUGAUGACCUUUGUAAAGCAAAGCAAAUGAUUGCUGUUUGCUAAAAAUGUGUUAGCGUUGGAUGCUUCUGGUACAGAUGAGCAAAUGAAAUUUAAAUGGCUGUCUGACAAUCAGCAAACUUUACCUUCUGAUUGAGCCUACAAAUGCUAUAGCAUAGGCCUCCAGGCAGAAGUUUGAGGCGCUGCUUUUUUUGAUGACCACAUGAUUUAAGACUUUCAGAAAGUAGUUUUGCUUGCAGUAGACAAGUGUGAUGAGAAGAGUAACCCUGAGUAAGGAGUUAAGAUCAGUUCCCGCACGUUCCAUUCCAGCAUGGUGCAUCCUUUGGUUGCCACAGUACUUGUUUGAGCAUCCUGGGGAAGUGGCUGUCACAAAGCAGGGGUUGCACUUCCAUAGGAAGGACCAAACGUAGCUGUAGCUGUCACCUUUUGCAUGGCCCUUGGUAGGCAGAGGCAGAAGCAGGAAAGUGGGCCUCAAGUGAAGCUGCUCCUGGAUCAAAAAUACUCCCACUGUCUUUACUAUGGCACUACUGUAGCACCAUGAAAAACAGAAACACUGUUUUCUGGCAGUUCUUUCUGCAGCCUCUUUUACUCUUGCGUUCCUCUGUUCUUCUUUCUGUCCUGUAUGCUGCUUCUUUGCUGCUCUCUUCUACGUCACUCCUGAUUUCACUUAUUAUUCCUUUAUACACUUAAUCCAAGGUUGUCUGUUUUAACGACUCUUUUUCCUUUACUCCCUGGGAAACGCCUGCAUUCUUCUUGUUCUCUUCCCAGGGCUUUUUUAUAUGGCAUCACCAGCUCAUUUUAGUGGGCUGGGAGCCUCCCCAUGCUGCCAGCCAAGGAAGUCCCUGUGAGCAGCAGGCUGGUCAGCCUCACCUGCAUGUUUCCCCUCUGGGAUGUUCCUGGUGGCUGCUGCCAGGCUCAGUGCAGCAUGUCCCAGUUUCUGUGCACGUGCUGGGGUUACAAGAAGGGCUGGCAUAGAAAGCAAUCUGGCGUCUUCCGCAGCUCUACUUGUUAUUUUGUCUUCCCUCAUGAAGGAAUAUAAGAAUCCAUUUCAGGAAAAUUAACCCAUGUGGAACGAUUUUUUUAACAUCUUUGGAGGAAUACAGGUUAGCAUUUUUCUUGCAAGUCUAUCUGGACCGCUUCAGGAAGCUGCACGGACUAAGCUGGGGCUGAUUGGCAGCUGUCAGCCACUGGUUAUACAUGUUCAGUGUUUCCUUAGGCAGGAUGAACUGCCUGCUGCAGCUCUGGGAUGUAGCAGGAGGCAGGGCAGCAUUUUCAUUUAAUUGCUUGUGGAGAUAGCUGCAGGAUUGUGGUGUCAAAAUAUUGCUAGGUCUCCAGGGAUUUCUUGUCAUUUUGUUGCCACAAUAAGGUCAUAGUUGUCACAGUGGCUUAGUGCAGCCACAGAGUAUGUGUACAAUUAUUUAUGCAACCUGAAAAUGUA
Molecule: long non-coding RNA, 6978 nt
Organism: Centrocercus urophasianus (Greater sage-grouse)
Lineage: Eukaryota; Metazoa; Chordata; Aves; Galliformes; Phasianidae
Exons: 3
Source: RefSeq, a predicted model, not a curated record